Molecule: ribosomal RNA, 775 nt
Filed under: uncultured Neocallimastigales
Lineage: Eukaryota; Fungi; Neocallimastigomycota; Neocallimastigomycetes; Neocallimastigales
Description: partial large subunit ribosomal RNA
Rfam family: Eukaryotic large subunit ribosomal RNA
Source: RNAcentral
UACUAGAGUAGCACUCGCAUAUCAAUAAGCGGAGGAAAAGAAACUAACAAGGAUUCCCCUAGUAACGGCGAGUGAAGCGGGAAGAGCUCAAAUUUGAAAUCUUAAAGGGUUUCCCUUUACGAAUUGUAGUUUAAAGAAGUGUUUUCUGUUGAGGUUUUGGUAAAAGUUCUUUGGAAUAGGACAUCAUAGAGGGUGAGAAUCCCGUAUUUGACCUUUACUUUCAACUUUGUGAUACACUUUCAAAGAGUCGGAUUGUUUGGGAAUGCAGUCCAAAAUGGGUGGUAAAUUUCAUCUAAAGCUAAAUAUUGGCGAGAGACCGAUAGCGAACAAGUACCGUGAGGGAAAGAUGAAAAGAACUUUGAAAAGAGAGUUAAACAGUACGUGAAAUUGUCAAAAGGGAAGCGUUUGACACCAGUGUUGUUUUUCUGAAAAUCAAUUAAAGAACUGUUUAUGCUAAGUUGUUUAGACUUUAUCAGCUAACUGUUUAGUUUUGAGCUUUUCUUUAAUGCACUUUUCAGUUAACAAGUCAACAUCAAUUUCUUUUGCUGUAAAAAAGCUUGAGGAAGGUGGCUUGAGAUUCGUCUUAAGUGUUUAUAGCCUCUUGCCUAUGCAGUCGGAGAGAUUGAGGUCUGCAGCGUAGAUCCUUCGGGGCUAAAUGCAUUUGUGCUAAGUUAUAGCAUUUUAUAAGACAACUUGUUGACUAUGAUUUGUCUUGUAGCUUACUCGCUUAUGUUAUUUUACCUACGCUUAGGAUGUUGAUCUACAGAGCGAGAGU